This is a long non-coding RNA of Magnolia sinica, 1166 nucleotides long. RefSeq lists it as uncharacterized. The record is from RefSeq and is a predicted model, not a curated record. NCBI's taxonomy places the organism in Eukaryota, Viridiplantae, Streptophyta, Magnoliopsida, Magnoliales, Magnoliaceae. The transcript is spliced from 4 exons.
CAUUUUUGACAUAUUCUAUAUGAUUUGGAACCUUCAAGUAUCAUCUUGAUUUAUUGGUUUGCAACAGGUAAAGAUUUGGGAAGACAGGAAGGCAUUGCCACAUGUGCACUAGGACCCUCUAAUUCCUGCUUUUUCUUUAGCCCAUCUGGGACUUAAUUCACCUUUCUUAGUACAUCUUUGUUACAUAUUUUGACUUAGAAGUUAUUGUAUCAAAUGACAAAACUUCUAUUACAAAUUUACAAUUAUAUGCCACAUGUGCAAUUUGUAAGUAAUUUCUAAGCUUUUAUACCAACUUCGACUGAAUUAAUAGAAUUUUCAUUCGAGGCCAAUAGUCUGUAUAGAUGGGGAUAUUUUGCAUUAAUGAUGAUGAUACAGAUCAUUCAUCUAGUGGAUCCCAAUGUUAAUGUUCAACAGAUCAGAAAUCUACUCUGUUGAACAAUCAUAGCUAUCUGAUCGAUGGACUUCCUCGAGUUGCAUAUGUAUAUCUCUAGUUGCUGCAUCAUUUCAUCUACAAUUUGAUCUUUACAAAUGUUUCUGCAUCAUAAAUACUGGGAAUGUAAUUACAAUUUGAUCAUUGCCGGUCUACAAUUUGAUCUUUCCUAUUAACUAAAUUAUGUAUUUCAAGGUUAUUUUCUCCAUCAACGCAAGCCAGAGAUGACAGAUUUCCUGAGAAAGGUCAGGUUUUUUUUUUUCAUACGAAACUAAAGAGCAAUGAUUGUGUAUGCUCAGUAGUUCUAUUUUGACCAAAAGUUGUUGGCUGGGGCUCAUCUUCAAUUGGAGAUUUCCUUAGUGUUUCUCUUCAACAACAGUUGGCUAUUCAUUAGUUAUUAAGUUGGCUGAAUUUGAUGCUUUCUCUUUCACUAAUAGUUGACUGGAUGCAAGUGAGCUUUGUAAUAUUACGAGUUCUAAGUAGGUGUUGCAGAACUUAAAGUUGCAGUUGAAAGGAGUGGGGGGUUGGUUGUGCUGGCGGAAAGCUUUGGCCAUUCUGUUUUUAAGGAUUCUCUCAAAUGCAUUUUUCAGUCCACUGACUACGACUUUGGUCUAUCAUUUAAGCUUCAGAUGAAUUUGUUAAGAGGCGUGAAGAGAUGUGCCCAAGUGUGUGUUGAGAAGGUAUUUAUGUCUUUCGAAUCCACUGUUCGUAAGAGGGCAAGCGAAAUGGUAGGGUC